This 509-nucleotide ribosomal RNA is filed under the name uncultured bacterium. RNAcentral describes it as "partial 16S ribosomal RNA". It matches the Rfam family "Bacterial small subunit ribosomal RNA", at positions 28 to 523 of the family's 1533-position model. The record is from RNAcentral.
GACGAACGCUGGCGGCGCGCUUAACACAUGCAAGUCGAGCGAGAACCUGGGCUUCGGCCCUGGGGACAGCGGCGAACGGGUGAGUAUCACGUGGGUAAUCUGCCCUCGGCAUCGGGAUAGCCCGGGGAAACCCGGAUUAAUACCGAAUAGCCUCCGGAGCCUUCGGGCGCCGGAGAAAAGGUAGCUUCGGCCUCUGGCCGAGGAUGAGCCCGCGGCGGAUUAGCUUGUUGGCGGGGUAACGGCCCACCAAGGCGACGAUCCGUAGCUGGUCUGAGAGGACGAUCAGCCACACUGGGACUGAGACACGGCCCAGACUCCUACGGGAGGCAGCAGUGGGGAAUCUUGCGCUAAUGCGGGAAACCGUGACGCAGCGACGCCGCGUGGGGGAAGAAGGCCUUCGGGUUGUAAACCUCUUUCAGGAGGGACGAAGCUACUCGGGUUAAUAGCCCAGAGGGUGACGGUACCUCCAGAAGAAGCCCCGGCUAACUACGUGCCAGCCGCCGCCGUAA